Molecule: non-coding RNA, 82 nt
Organism: Cymbomonas tetramitiformis
Lineage: Eukaryota; Viridiplantae; Chlorophyta; Pyramimonadophyceae; Pyramimonadales; Pyramimonadaceae
Source: the annotation of a GenBank genome assembly
GAUGAUAUGGCCGAGUGGUUAAGGCGUUUGCCUGCUAAGCAAAUGGGCAUGACCCGCGUAGGUUCAAAUCCUACUGUCAUCG